Long non-coding RNA from Haliotis rufescens (red abalone), 465 nucleotides. RefSeq lists it as uncharacterized. NCBI's taxonomy places the organism in Eukaryota, Metazoa, Mollusca, Gastropoda, Lepetellida, Haliotidae. The record is from RefSeq and is a predicted model, not a curated record. The transcript is spliced from 4 exons.
AGCUGAUCUCCUCGGAUUAGUGGUCUGUGCAUAUGUCUUUGUGAUUAUUCUGACAAUAAUCGUGGCGGUGCUUCUUUUUCACGAACACAGCAAUACGAAAUGCAAAGUACCAGCAUGUGUUAUGGCCGCCGUAUUGAUCUUCAUUUCUUUGCUGUUCAUCAUUCUACUGUUUGUGCUGCAUGAAGCUUGCUCAGAUGCCAAAUGUAUUGUCGCUGUCAUAAUCUGUAUCCUCGGACUUAUCGUGGGAAUAGUAGCAAUGGGACGCCUAUUCAGGGAAAAGAUAAGACAAUGUUGCUGCUCCACACCCAGUGUCUGAAACUCGGCAGAGUAAACUGAGAGCCCAAGCUCUGUAGGCCCAAGCAUUUUAGCUGAAGCAGGGAGCCAUACUCAUAUAUUACACACAACCAGUCAACAUAAAGUCUUGACUGCUAUCACACCGAGUUCCCAGAGACUCUGGUGAUAAAA